CUCCCGGAGGGCGUCCUGCAGGAGGCGUCCUAUGGAGGAAGAAUCGCAGGCCUCCUAACAGGUGUCCUAAAGCAGAAUCUGCAUUUUAACAGAACCCCGUGCUCCGUAUCCACCCCCCGAAUUUGCUCUGCACCCGGAAGUUUGUGAAGCCGCAGUGUAGCUGCUGGGUGACGUGGCUACAGGUGAUGUUGCGUUGGAAGAUUCAGGAGGCACAAAGCUGCACAGCCGGAGGCUGGGGCGGUGGUGACGCGGCAGCUCUUUCCUGCGUUUGAGCAGUGCCCGCAGGCGGCUUCAGGAGGUGGUCAACACUGGUCACUGGGCAGCCGGGUGGAACAGCACGACCGCGGAGCCCUUGCCUGGAGGAAAGGGCUUUAGCGGUUCGGACGAGAGGCCAGGCCGCCACGGCAUACUGAACACGUCUGGAGAAAUGGAGACCAUGAGUUCCGGUGCACAUGUGGGAAAAUCACACCAGCCGAGAUAAAAAUCUUCCUCUUGGAGCCUGCAUUACUGAAGACACUGUGAGGAACUAUACA
This is a long non-coding RNA of Hyaena hyaena (striped hyena), 533 nucleotides long. RefSeq lists it as uncharacterized. The record is from RefSeq and is a predicted model, not a curated record. The transcript is spliced from 3 exons. Lineage: Eukaryota; Metazoa; Chordata; Mammalia; Carnivora; Hyaenidae.